AAUAGACAUGCAAGUCGAGCGAACAGAAGGGAGCUUGCUCCCGGAUGUUAGCGGCGGACGGGUGAGUAACACGUGGGUAACCUGCCUGUAAGACUGGGAUAACUCCGGGAAACCGGAGCUAAUACCGGAUAGUUCCUUGAACCGCAUGGUUCAAGGAUGAAAGACGGUUUCGGCUGUCACUUACAGAUGGACCCGCGGCGCAUUAGCUAGUUGGUGGGGUAAUGGCUCACCAAGGCGACGAUGCGUAGCCGACCUGAGAGGGUGAUCGGCCACACUGGGACUGAGACACGGCCCAGACUCCUACGGGAGGCAGCAGUAGGGAAUCUUCCGCAAUGGACGAAAGUCUGACGGAGCAACGCCGCGUGAGUGAUGAAGGUUUUCGGAUCGUAAAGCUCUGUUGUUAGGGAAGAACAAGUGCGAGAGUAACUGCUCGCACCUUGACGGUACCUAACCAGAAAGCCACGGCUAACUACGUGCCAGCAGCCGCGGUAAUACGUAGGUGGCAAGCGUUGUCCGGAAUUAUUGGGCGUAAAGGGCUCGCAGGCGGUUUCUUAAGUCUGAUGUGAAAGCCCCCGGCUCAACCGGGGAGGGUCAUUGGAAACUGGGAAACUUGAGUGCAGAAGAGGAGAGUGGAAUUCCACGUGUAGCGGUGAAAUGCGUAGAGAUGUGGAGGAACACCAGUGGCGAAGGCGACUCUCUGGUCUGUAACUGACGCUGAGGAGCGAAAGCGUGGGGAGCGAACAGGAUUAGAUACCCUGGUAGUCCACGCCGUAAACGAUGAGUGCUAAGUGGUUAGGGGGUUUCCGCCCCUUAGUGCUGCAGCUAACGCAUUAAGCACUCCGCCUGGGGAGUACGGUCGCAAGACUGAAACUCAAAGGAAUUGACGGGGGCCCGCACAAGCGGUGGAACAUGUGGUUUAAUUCGAAGCAACGCGAAGAACCUUACCAGGUCUUGACAUCCUCUGACACCCUAGAGAUAG
RNAcentral lists this ribosomal RNA (979 nucleotides) under Bacillus sp. (in: firmicutes). RNAcentral's name for it is "bacterial SSU rRNA". It matches the Rfam family "Bacterial small subunit ribosomal RNA", at positions 48 to 1009 of the family's 1533-position model. Lineage: Bacteria; Bacillati; Bacillota; Bacilli; Caryophanales; Bacillaceae. The record is from RNAcentral.